AACGAACGCUGGCGGCAUGCUUAACACAUGCAAGUCGAACGCUUUAUGGCUUCGGCCAUGGAGAGUGGCGCACGGGUGAGUAGCGCGUGGGAACCUGCCCUGGAGUGGGGGAUAACCGAUGGAAACGUCGGCUAAUACCGCAUGAUCCCGGUGGUCGAGAGAUUGCCGGGCAAAGAUUUAUCGCUUUGGGAGGGGCCCGCGUCGGAUUAGGUAGUUGGUGGGGUAACGGCCUACCAAGCCAGUGAUCCGUAGCUGGUCUGAGAGGAUGAU
RNAcentral lists this ribosomal RNA (270 nucleotides) under uncultured bacterium. RNAcentral describes it as "partial 16S ribosomal RNA". It matches the Rfam family "Bacterial small subunit ribosomal RNA", at positions 29 to 304 of the family's 1533-position model. The record is from RNAcentral.